This is a long non-coding RNA of Daphnia magna, 653 nucleotides long. RefSeq lists it as uncharacterized. NCBI's taxonomy places the organism in Eukaryota, Metazoa, Arthropoda, Branchiopoda, Diplostraca, Daphniidae. The record is from RefSeq and is a predicted model, not a curated record. The transcript is spliced from 3 exons.
CUGACUUCUAAAUCUAAAGCAAUGGAAAUGGCAAGUGCAAAUAUAAGUCAAGGCAUGGCUGACCAAAUCACGCUAUCAGCCUCUGAUGGCUCUGAAUCUGAAUCAGAAUCAAAUCAUGCAAAUUCCUAUGUAAAUUCCUCUUCUCAUGUUGAAGUUGAAAACACCUGGGGAAAAAAACCAACAAGCUGAAAUGAAUCCAGAAUUAAAUUGCCAUCCAACUAUUUCCAAUUCAUGUACGACAAAAAAGAUGGCAAAGGCUUUUAGUUAAAUGCCUCAUAGGUCACAAGACAAAGCCAAAAUUUAAUAAAAAAGGCGAAAUUGAACUUCUGACUAUUUCCAACAAUUCUGGCUACAAUGCCAAGAGGCACAUAAGAACAAUACUCCCAACACACCUAACAGAAUUUAACUCUGCUUGGCAAAUAAGAAACCAAGAACCAAGCGAAGAAAGACAGUCAUCUAAUCCUGUUCAGGCUAGACUCUCUACUACGAGAAAAGUAAAAAAGGCUAAUAAGCCUUCUAUAAAGAAUCAUUGGGAUAGUUCUUGGAAGUAUAAGCAGAUUAGAACACAGGAAGAUUUGGGAAAGCUAUCCUGGUGAGUUUUUCUUUACAUUAGUCCUAGUCUUAUCUCAUCUCAUCUCAUCCCCAACUAAGUA